AGAGUUUGAUCCUGGCUCAGGAUGAACGCUGGCGGUGUGCCUAACACAUGCAAGUCGAGCGAAGCAAUUAAGAGGAAGUUUUCGGAUGGAAUGUUAAUUGACUGAGCGGCGGACGGGUGAGUAACGCGUGGGUAACCUGCCUCAUACAGGGGGAUAACAGUUAGAAAUGACUGCUAAUACCGCAUAAGCACACAGAACCGCAUGGUUCGUGGUGAAAAGCCGAGACGGUGUAAGAUGGACCCGCGUCUGAUUAGCUUGUUGGCGGGGUAACGGCCCACCAAGGCGACGAUCAGUAGCCGGCCUGAGAGGGUGGACGGCCACAUUGGGACUGAGACACGGCCCAAACUCCUACGGGAGGCAGCAGUGGGGGAUAUUGGACAAUGGGGGGAAUCCUGAUCCAGCGACGCCGCGUGAGUGAAGAAGUAUUUCGGUAUGUAAAGCUCUGUCAGCAGGGAAGAAAGAAAUGACGGUACCUGACCAAGAAGCCCCGGCUAACUACGUGCCAGCAGCCGCGGUAAUACGUAGGGGGCAAGCGUUAUCCGGAAUUACUGGGUGUAAAGGGAGCGUAGACGGUUAAGUAAGUCUGGAGUGAAAGGCCGGGGCCCAACCCCGGGACUGCUCUGGAAACUAUUCAACUUGAGUGCAGGAGAGGUAAGCGGAAUUCCUAGUGUAGCGGUGAAAUGCGUAGAUAUUAGGAGGAACACCAGUGGCGAAGGCGGCUUACUGGACUGUAACUGACGUUGAGGCUCGAAAGCGUGGGGAGCAAACAGGAUUAGAUACCCUGGUAGUCCACGCCGUAAACGAUGAUUACUAGGUGUCGGUGGGUAUGGACCCAUCGGUGCCGCAGCAAACGCAGUAAGUAAUCCGCCUGGGGAGUACGACCGCAAGGUUGAAACUCAAAGGAAUUGACGGGGGCCCGCACAAGCGGAGGAACAUGUGGUUUAAUUCGAUGAUACGCGAGGAACCUUACCCGGGCUCAAACGACGGAUGAAUACUUUUGAAAGGAGGUAGUCCUUCGGGACAUCCGUCGAGGUGCUGCAUGGUUGUCGUCAGCUCGUGCCGUGAGGUGUCGGCUUAAGUGCCAUAACGAGCGCAACCCCCAUCGCCAGUUGCCAACAGGUAAAGCUGGGAACUCUGGCGAGACUGCCGGCGCAAGCUGUGAGGAAGGCGGGGAUGACGUCAAAUCAGCACGGCCCUUACGUCCGGGGCGACACACGUGUUACAAUGGCAGGUACAGAGAGAUGCGACACGGCGACGUGGAGCGGAACUGUCAAAACCUGUCUCAGUUCGGAUCGGAGUCUGCAACCCGACUCCGUGAAGCUGGAUUCGCUAGUAAUCGCGCAUCAGCCAUGGCGCGGUGAAUACGAACCCGGGCCUUGCACACACCGCCCGUCA
RNAcentral lists this ribosomal RNA (1395 nucleotides) under uncultured bacterium. RNAcentral describes it as "partial 16S ribosomal RNA". It matches the Rfam family "Bacterial small subunit ribosomal RNA". The record is from RNAcentral.